RNAcentral lists this long non-coding RNA (291 nucleotides) under Phoenix dactylifera (date palm). RNAcentral's name for it is "long non-coding RNA (PDAC_LNC015453)". Lineage: Eukaryota; Viridiplantae; Streptophyta; Magnoliopsida; Arecales; Arecaceae. The record is from RNAcentral.
AUGGAAUGGAGAACAGGUGAGUUUAAUAGUCGUUUGAGAUUUAAGCACACUAAAUCAGGAGUGCAAACUAAAAACAUGCAUAGAUAGUUGAUGCAAAAUAUUUUGCCCAUCAAUCUUUUGCUGUAUAUAACAUUUCUUUACAAGCUAUUUGGAGGAAUGCUAUCUCACUAGAUAGUAAUGCUGUUUCUUACCAUCUAAUGCCAGAACCCUAGCAUGACAGCAAUGGUAAAUAAUAACAUAAGAGCCACAUUUCCACCAGGCAGUAAAUCUUCCUUGGACUCCGGCAAUCUG